Long non-coding RNA from Mercenaria mercenaria, 329 nucleotides. RefSeq lists it as uncharacterized. The transcript has 3 exons. The record is from RefSeq and is a predicted model, not a curated record. NCBI's taxonomy places the organism in Eukaryota, Metazoa, Mollusca, Bivalvia, Venerida, Veneridae.
GGAGAGGGAUGGUAUUACUAAACAAAGUGAGAAUAGUUCAAACAAAGUUGCAACCAUAGGAGGAUCGGUUGGAGGAUCUGUCGCAUUUCUUAUUAUUGUGAUUGCUGCUGUAUACCUAUUCAUAAGAUAUCGAACAAAAUUAAGAUAUAAAGAUGAACACAAAAAUGACUACACAGCUCCGUCAGCUUUUUCUCAACAGUCGGAGAACUCGGAUUACGACACACUAGAAACUGUACAAGAUACAUCUGGAGUUGAUAACAACAGUCCAUAUGUAAAUGAACAAGUAACUGGCGUAUAAAGUUUCAACAACGAUUGGUCGAAAAUGGAAA